UGCGGGGUGGAGCAGCGGUAGCUCGUUGGGCUCAUAACCCAAAGGCCCCAGGUUCGAAUCCUGGCCCCGCAA
This 72-nucleotide transfer RNA is filed under the name Chloroflexota bacterium. RNAcentral describes it as "Chloroflexi bacterium tRNA-Met". It matches the Rfam family "tRNA". Rfam says of the family: Transfer RNA (tRNA) molecules are approximately 80 nucleotides in length. Their secondary structure includes four short double-helical elements and three loops (D, anti-codon, and T loops). Lineage: Bacteria; Bacillati; Chloroflexota. The record is from RNAcentral.